This 714-nucleotide ribosomal RNA is filed under the name uncultured soil bacterium. RNAcentral's name for it is "bacterial SSU rRNA". It matches the Rfam family "Bacterial small subunit ribosomal RNA", at positions 40 to 749 of the family's 1533-position model. The record is from RNAcentral.
CGGCAUGCCUUACACAUGCAAGUCGAACGGCAGCGCGGGGCAACCUGGCGGCGAGUGGCGAACGGGUGAGUAAUAUAUCGGAACGUACCCUGGAGUGGGGGAUAACGUAGCGAAAGUUACGCUAAUACCGCAUACGAUCUAAGGAUGAAAGUGGGGGAUUCGCAAGAACCUCAUGCUCCUGGAGCGGCCGAUAUCUGAUUAGCUAGUUGGUGGGGUAAAGGCCCACCAAGGCAUCGAUCAGUAGCUGGUCUGAGAGGACGACCAGCCACACUGGAACUGAGACACGGUCCAGACUCCUACGGGAGGCAGCAGUGGGGAAUUUUGGACAAUGGGCGCAAGCCUGAUCCAGCAAUGCCGCGUGAGUGAAGAAGGCCUUCGGGUUGUAAAGCUCUUUUGUCAGGGAAGAAACGGUGAUUUCUAAUACAGAUUGCUAAUGACGGUACCUGAAGAAUAAGCACCGGCUAACUACGUGCCAGCAGCCGCGGUAAUACGUAGGGUGCAAGCGUUAAUCGGAAUUACUGGGCGUAAAGCGUGCGCAGGCGGUUUUGUAAGUUUGUCGUGAAAUCCCCGGGCUCAACCUGGGAAUGGCGAUGAAGACUGCAAGGCUAGAGUUUGGCAGAGGGGGGUAGAAUUCCACGUGUAGCAGUGAAAUGCGUAGAUAUGUGGAGGAACACCGAUGGCGAAGGCAGCCCCCUGGGUCAAAACUGACGCUCA